CUCUCCCGCCACACCUCCCUGCAAGCUGAGGGAGCCGGCUCCUGCCUUGGCCAGGCUAGAAAGGGGCUCCCACAGUGCAGGGGCGGGCUGAAGGGCUCCUCAAGUGCCACCAAAGUGGGAGCCCAGGCAGAGGAGGUGCCGAGAGCGAGCGAGGGCUGCGAGGACUGCCAGCAGCUGUCACCUCUCGUUACCAUCACUCCUAGUGACCAUUUCGGAUAAUCCACCUUGCCUCAUCAAACCAGAAAACAAUUCAAACCUGGCCUCCUUCUAACUGGAAGCCACAUUUUAAGAACUUAUUGUGAAGAACUGGAAAGCCUCCAAUAGAACAGAAGCUAAAAGCAGAAAUUAUAAAAGCUGUUACACCUACUCAGCUCUAUUACAUGUUGGAAAAACUGAACCAGAGAAACAAUUACAUACACUCUUGUCUUCUGGAAAAGCUGAAUUGGGUUUUGGUCUGAAUCAAUAGCUAUUUGAAGAUGCCUGCUCUGGCUUUGCCUUCUGCCAUGAUUAAAAGCUCCCGAGGCCUCCCCAAAAGCAGAUGCUGCUAUGCUUCCCAUACAGCCUGUGGAAUCAUGAAUCAAUUAAACCUCUUUACUUAUAGAC
Homo sapiens (human) is the source of this 603-nucleotide long non-coding RNA. Ensembl annotates it as long intergenic non-protein coding RNA 2046. The record is from Ensembl. Lineage: Eukaryota; Metazoa; Chordata; Mammalia; Primates; Hominidae.